Molecule: ribosomal RNA, 240 nt
Filed under: uncultured bacterium
Lineage: Bacteria
Description: partial 16S ribosomal RNA
Rfam family: Bacterial small subunit ribosomal RNA
Source: RNAcentral
UGGCGAACGGGUGAGUAACGCGUGAGGAACCUGCCUCAAAGAGGGGGACAACAGUUGGAAACGACUGCUAAUACCGCAUAAGCCCACGGCUCGGCAUCGAGCAGAGGGAAAAGGAGCAAUCCGCUUUGAGAUGGCCUCGCGUCCGAUUAGCCAGUUGGCGGGGUAACGGCCCACCAAAGCGACGAUGGAUAGGGGUUCUGAGAGGAAGGUCCCCCACAUUGGAACUGAGACACGGUCCAA